Non-coding RNA from Pelodiscus sinensis (Chinese soft-shelled turtle), 8094 nucleotides. NCBI's taxonomy places the organism in Eukaryota, Metazoa, Chordata, Testudines, Trionychidae. The record is from RefSeq and is a predicted model, not a curated record.
GUAUUUGCAUAUUUUCCAGUGAGAAGACCUUUUGUUUUCCAUAAGAAGGCUAUUAUCCAGCAUGUUAAUGGGCUUCCAGCUAUUAAGAUAGUAAGAGAGAAGUGGUGGAACUGCAAUUCACUACACUAACUUAUAUUAACCACCAGUUAUUUAUGCCACUUGGAGGCUGAAACUCCUGGAAACAUGUUGUGUAAGAAAUGACAGGGAAUUUGCAAAGCGGUUGCCUAGCAAAUUGGAGUAUGGAGACAAUGUUAGAUCCCGCUAAAGAUGACCUGCCCCUAAUGGCCAACACAUGCCACAUGCUCGUAAAACAUUAUGAAUUGGACUUAGAUGUGGAUUUUAAAAGCCAAGUUAUUGAAGGCACCAUAGUUCUCUUUUUUGAGCCUGGGAGCAAAUCCAAAAAAGGAGCCAGUGCUUUGGAAGGAACCUGCCUUUCACAGUCAGAUGAAACAUGCAAAAUUAGGGCUUCUGAACCCUGUCACAUUCCUGUGACAAAUGUAAGUGCCCGCUCAUCUAAAACAGGAUAUAAUGAUUUUGCUGUCUGUGCUAAAGGUGAAAAAGAUACUUCUGAUAAAAAUGGUAACCAUAGCAACGGGGAACAGGCUUCUGGGAUUUCUAGUUCAAAGAACUGCUGUGACAUAGAGAAUCAUGGGAGUGAAGAUUUUUUACUGGUAUUGGACUGCUGUGAUUUAUCUGUGUUAAAGGUCGAGGAGGUAGAUGUUGCUGCUGUGCCAGGUAUUGAAAAAUUCACAAGGUCUGCUAAGCUAACUGAUGCUUCUGAAGAGCUGAGAAAUCUUAGGAAUCAGAUUGUACAUGAACUUGUGACAUUACCUGCAGAUCGUUGGAGAGAACAGCUAUACUAUUAUACCCGCUGCAGCCAGGCACCUGGUUGUGGAGAGCUUCUGUUUUCCACUGGCACUUGGAGCUUGGAGAUAAGGAAAGCAGAGAUUAAAGCUCCAAGAGAAUUUCCUCAUGCAAUAAGGAUAUGGUACAAAACAAAACCACAAGGAAGAUCAGUUACAUGGACCACAGACCAGAGUAGCAGGCCAUGUGUUUAUACGGUUGGGUCGCCAAUAAACAACAGGGCCCUUUUUCCAUGUCAGGAACCACCAGUUGCCAUGUCAACAUGGCAAACCACAGUACGAACACCUUCUUGCUUUGUAGUCUUAACGAGUGGUGAAAAUACAGCAGAACCAGCACAACUUCAAGAAGGUCUCUUAAGUUGGUACUAUUAUGUGACCAUGCCAAUGCCAGCAUCGACCUUCACAAUUGCUAUUGGGAGUUGGACUGAAGUUAAAAAGCAAUCCUGCACAGCUGACAUCUGGACAAACAAGGAGUUUUCCUUUCUGCUUUCAAAGGCUGAUCUCAGGUUGAUUGGAGGGAGCUGUGGACACGUGGAAUAUCCUUGCCGUUUCCAAAAUCCUGCUGCCAGUUCUCAGCUAGUCAUUCCUCACCGAGUCUUUGCUCCAUUGUGCCUGAGGGAUCGUUGUGCAGAGAUCAUUCUUGAGCUGAUUCCUCAGUGCCUGUCAGCUGCUCACGCUACAUUGGGUACCCAUCCUUUUUCCAGGCUUGAUGUGUUGAUAGUCCCUUCCAACUUUUCAAGUCUGGGAAUGGCCAGCCCACACAUCAUAUUCCUGUCACAGAGUGUAUUAACUGGAGGAAGCCAUCUCUGUGGAACACGUCUGUGCCAUGAAAUUGCUCAUGCUUGGUUUGGAUUGGCCAUAGGUGCUCGUGAUUGGACUGAAGAGUGGAUAAGUGAAGGAUUUGCUACUUACUUGGAAGAUGUAUUUUGGGCAGUAGCACAACAGCAGCUGCCACAUGACGAAGCAAGAGAGCAGCAGGAGUUGAAAGCUUUGCUGCGCUGGAGACGGCUAAGAGAUGAGGUGCAGAACUCUGAAGAAGAGCUGCAAGUAUUAAGGCCAAACAAAGAGAACACAGGAGAACUGAGUGAGUCUGGAACAUGUACAAUCAAACAUGGUCUUAAUGCAGAAAAAAUCUUCAUGCAGGUUCAUUAUUUGAAGGGCUAUUUCCUUCUGCGGUUUCUAGCCAGGAGAAUUGGAGACACAACAUAUUUAGAAUUUUUAAGAAAGUUUGUGCAGAAGUUUCACGGACAACUGAUCCUUUCUCAGGAUUUUCUUUGCAUGCUGCUGGAGGACAUCCCAGAACAAAAAGGGUUUGUGCUGUCUGUUGAAAAUAUCAUUGAGACCUGGCUUGACACUUCUGGAAUACCAAAGCCUUUGCUGGAAGAGAGUCGAACUUGGGACCAUUGUCGAUUAGUCCAGCAAGUGAAUCAUGAGGUCACAAAAUGGAUUCAAGUAAACCAGAGAGCAAGAAAAAGGAGCAAAAGGAAACGAAGGCAAGAUGAAGUGGCUUUCCAAAAGCUUCUCCCGGACCAGUUGGUUUUACUUCUAGAGUGUCUGUUGGAGGAGAAGACGACAUUAUGUCUCAGAACUCUGCAGUGCUUAGAGAAAACGUACCAUCUUGGUGAGCAAGAUGCAGAGGUUCGGCAUCGAUGGUGUGAGCUUAUUAUUAAACACAAAUACACAACAAGGUAUGCUGAGGUUGAGACAUUUCUUAGGGAAGAUCAGGCUAUGGGUGUUUAUCUGUAUGGAGAAUUAAUGGUGAAUGAAGAUGCAAAACAACAGGAGCUUGCCUAUAAAUGCUUUGCUGCAACACAAACCCAAAUGGAUGUGUCCUCAGCCAAAGUAGUGGCAGAGAUGUUGUUGUGAAAAGUGAUACCCAUCUGGUCAGCUGUGGUGGCCCCAGAGGUAAUGCCUUGCAGUGUCACAAUAUAUAUCCCUGCCAACCCGACUCCUGCUUCAGUUCUUGCCAGUACCAUCCAACAGAGGAGAGGAAGGUGGGUCUGGAAUGGACAUGAACAUCACAUCUCAAAGAACAAGAGUUACAAAAGAAGAAAGUUGAAGCUCUGGACAUUGGGGGUUUCAAUCCAGAUCAAGCAGCAGUGAGAAAGAACUAGAGACACAAUCGUCUCCCUCACCCUUUAUCUCCUUGGCCAAAGUCACAAGGUAAGCCAAGAGACAUAUGCUGACCAACCGACACUGCUUUCAAAAUUCUCCUGGAGAACAUAGGGACCAGAACUUGAAGAAGAUGGAUUUUCAGGAUGCCACCUAAUCUUCAAAACAUAACAUAGGAUCUCAUCUUGCAUUUACCUUAGAAAACUCUCCCCCACACAUGUGAAAUAGCAUCAAAAAAGCUUUGCAGAACUGACAACGUAACUUCUGAACCCGUGUCCCUUCAAUUUCAAAAUCUGCAUGAUAUAUGGAGAAGAAUUCACCUGGAAUGCACAGCCAAACUACAGGAUAUUGGAACUGCAGUAUCCAUGGACCAGAAUCUGUAGGAGCACUUACAGAGAAAAGCUGGGGCCCCCCACACACAGAAUGUUAGAGGAAACUACUUCAUGAACAGGCAACAGGAAGAGUCAGUCAGAAUUUGCUGCAAACAAACUGAAUUUAUUUUCAAUGGCUUUUAAAAACAAAAUACCAUUUAAUCUUUUAUAGAUAGAACUCUUGUAGUGAAGAGCAUGAGGAAUUCACCAAGAGCACAAGUGAAAUUAAUCCACACAAUUCCCAAUGUUUCCACUCAAAUAUAUCCUUUUGAGGCUGGAUUCUUUUAUAAUAUACACUGUUAAGGAAAUUAAUUGCAUCUGUUGAACUUUACUUAGCUAAGAUUCUGUCCAAGGAAAUUCAGUUUAAAACAAAAUUGUCUUGCCUCUCCCAGUUUCUCUCACACCUCUCCCAUCUUUCUCACAAUUCUCUGCCUCUUUCAUUGGUAAAUCUAGUUGUGAAAGAUGACUCUGGAUCUAGCCAGAAGAUAAUUAUGUGAAUCAGUCAAAGAAAGAGGGCAAUGUAGGGGCAUAGGAACCAGGGUCAACUCCAAAUCUUAGUAUCCAAUUUUUGUGCCCUACCUUUCAAAGGCACAUUACUAUUACUGCUUCCAAAAAGUACCAACUAAAAUCAGCAGACAUACUACUGAUCCUGAUUUGCCUAUUUAUGCAUCUAGCACGGACUGUAAAAGGUAUGAAAUGUAUAUGUAAAGGAAGGUACGUAAAAAAAUCUAAUUUGCAUAUUAAAAAUUUGGCUUAAGUUUAGUGUACCACCACACAGAUAUUACACAAACAUACUUACACACACACACACACACACAUAUAAAUAUACACUUAAGUACACUUUAACCCUUAUGGAAAAUGCAAGCCUUCCCAAUUCUUAAUAUGCUAAAGAAUAUUAAUGUAGGACAUAUCAGUAUUUGCAAUGUGUAUAACACGUAUCUUUUGUUUUUAUGACUUUCUAGCAAUUACACAAUUUCUAAUACUAAGUCCAGUUUCGCUCAAAAGGAGGAAAAAUAAUUAACAGCAUGCCAAAUAAAAUACAAAAUUACUAGCCCAUUCCACUCCAAUUACAAUUAGAUUCCAAAUGUAAUAGUAAUGGAUAUCAAGUUUCUUUCAUAGUAAAGCAGAGUCGUCAUCUAUCAGGAUACUGUGAUAUCUAAAGGAAGAGGAGAUAUUUACACUCUUGCUUAAGUUGAUCCAACUUUAGUUGUUCACAGAUAUGAAAAAGCCCUCCCUCAACAACCAACCCAAGUUUCAUGCUGUCCACACCAGUGCUAUGUCAGCAGAAGAUGCUUCUCUGCCAAUCGCUUCUCACUGAGAAGUAAUUAUGCCAAUGGGAGAGCGCUUCCCCCGUCAGCAAAUACACUACAGCUGCGCUGAUACAGUGCUGAAGUGUAGACUUGCCCUAAGAUAGUUACUUACAGUUACAUCACUCAGAUAAUUCAUUGUGAUAAAUGGCUCAGAUGAUGCAGUUCUGAAGAAACUUACUCACCUUACCCAAUUCAGCCACAUAACCAAUUUUUUUCUGGUUACUUUUUCCUUGCUGUAUUGUUUUUAUUGCAAAUAGGAAGGAGAGUCUAAAUUAAUCAUUAAUUUUGGCUCAUUUUGUACUGUAAUUGCCAUGAACCAUAAAGGCACACAGAGGUCACAUCCUGGAAGUGUCAUAAUCAAUCAAACAAAACACAUACUAACAUACGUAAACUGGGUAGGCCUCCCGGAGGGGUACCUCCUCCUUCUGGGCCGGUGGGUGGCCGCUCCACCCUACUGCACACCUGCUUAAAAUAGUCCCUGAGUCAGGAGUUCAUGACCUGAAGCAAGGUUGGGUUAAAGACAAGAGGCAAAUGGUUCAACCCCUGGCCUUGCUUCAGGUCGGGGUGAGAGGCCAAUAGUUCAGGUGCACUCCCCCUAGUACAGGGCAGGCAGAAAACCCCAGUCAGUAUAAGGGCCUAACCCUCACUUAGGGCUGGCAACAGGCACAGUUAGUUCAUAGGCCCAGGCCUUGGUUCAGGCAGGGCGGCAACAAACAAUCUGUUCAGGUCCCCAGCCCUGGUCUGGGCAGGGCUGCAGACAAUCCCCCUGUUAAGAGACUAGUUCAUAAGGUUCAGUCUUGAUUCAGGCGGGGCAACAAAGACACACAGAGAAUUUAUCAGUUCAAAUAGCCCUGGCCCUAGGUCAGGGCGGGGCAGCACACAGUCCACCACAAGUUCAGUAUGCCCUUGGCCUGUCUCAGGCAGAAGCAAUAAUCCCUUAAUUAGUGGAGCCCUGGCCCUGUUUCAGGGCAGGGCAGCAAGUACUAGUCCAGCAGUUUAGGCCUUGUCCCAAGCUGGGCAGCAAACAAACAGUUUAGCAGUCUAGGGAGCCCUAGCCCUAGGUCAGGGAGGGGCAACAAACACAGGUGUGGGGUCUCCUUGUUCAGGAAGGUGGCAAGCCAUUUGCCUGUGGUAGCGAUGAGGGGGAGACUGCCACCCGGUUGUGGGUGGCGCAGGCCCUCCCACUCCACUGCGCCCUGGCCCAGCGCCCUAGAAGCACCAGAGUAGCUGCUGUGGGCUCAGCGGGGGCACUACACCGCAACCCACUGGCCUCAGGCCUUUAACAACCCUCACUACUCCCAGGGCCAUUUCCCUUCUCCCCUUCAACAGGUACCUGGACUUCUGGCAGAGUCAAGGUUCGGGGAGUCAAGGUUGGUCUCAUCCAGCUGGGGUCCUGGUGGUCCGCUCCAGCUCUCAGCCUCUUUCAGGUCCGCUCUGACCACAGCAGGCAGUUCGGCUGGUCCUUGGGGUUCGGCUGGUCCUCAGAGAAUGACCCAGCUGGUGGUCCUUGCGGAUCCGGUGGGCUCCCACAGUCCCGGGGUACAGGCUGGGGUCGGGGUUCAGGCAGGUCCUCUAGGCCGGCCACUCUUGGAUGCCUGGGCCAAGUCUCUGCCUCCCAGGCAGGGAGCUCUAUGCAGGCCUCUGGCUCCUCCAGAGGUUGGGCUCAGACUGAGCUCUUAGCCUGGUUAUUUAUGGUCCUAGGCCUGCCCCGACUUCCAGUCAGGUGACGAGGAGGGGCUAUGCUGCACAGAAAAUGGCUCCUGGAGGGGUUCCUCUGCCUCCGGGUCGAUGGGAGGCCACUGCGCCCCACUACACAUAUCUCUAAAUAAAUGUUCUAAAUAUAUUUUAGAUGGGAUAUUCAUCACACUGGUAGAGCCAACAUUUCCACCUACUAUAUUCUAAAUAUCCCUUAAAAUAGAACACUUAAGGGAAUUAUUAGACUCACUGAUCAUUGCUCUGAUCACAUAAUUUACUCUACCAGCUCUUUCUACCUUGCUAUACCCCAAGUUCAAGCUUGCCUUCACUCUCUCAACUGUACCCUAAUAUCCCUUUUGUAUACUCUUGGCUCUUAUAGCACUGCUUCCUACCAAUAAAGCAAGGAAUAUGAAAUAUGCAUAAUAAGAAAGUGCCAAGCACAAUAUGGCCCAAAUCCUGCAGAGGGGCUCUUGAUGUGAAGGCUUUUAUAUCUAAAAAAAUCAGUAUUAAAGAGAGAUUUUGCUUUCUUUCUAUCUGGAACCAAUGUUUUCUGUAAGCUAUGUACAGUACCUAGAUACUAUGGUGAACAAUGGGUUAAGAAAUGCAGAUGGACGGAUGGAUAAGAAAGUUGUAUUAAAUGGAUUAUGGGAGAGAUACUAUCCCAUGACCACUUUCCAUGGGAAAAAGAGGGAACCGAAAAUGUAUACAUUUACAGAAUCUCCUGAUAUCUUCAGAACUGAUGCAUACACAGGGUCACUGCUAGCAAUUUUGUAGCUUGAAAGCAUGCUAUACAUCAUCUACAGUACAGAACAGCUUAGGCAACCAAUAAGAAAGUUACCUACCUUUCUGUAAUUGUUCUUCAAGAUAUGUCACACAUGUCCAUUCCAGGACAAGUAGGAAAAGGUGCAGGGAUCCAAGUGAUUCAGCCCAGUGAGCCAGGAGAGGACCAGGCUGAGGUCCCACUACAGGACAGGGUUUUACACCUGUGCAGUCACUCAAGGCCCCACAGGAAUCUCACCAUCAUUUCAUGGGAGCACACCACCUACCUAGGGUCACGAAAAGCAGAGGUGGCUGCAAGAUACACUCUGAUGGAAGUAUGUUCCAGGCCCAGACUCCUGAGCUGUAGCAGGUACCUAUGGAAAAUCAUGCCAAUCUAGAUGUAGCCUUGGUGUUGUAGUCAGGCUAAAGGGAAGGACCAUAAACUGAUAGAAAGUGGUCCCUACCAUAAACCAAAGAAAAUGUUGUAACCUGGAAAGAUUGCCAUGUGGAACUACGUGUCCUUCAGGUUGAGGACAGAAUACCAAUCUCCAGAAUCUAGAGCUGGAAUAAUGGAGGACAAGUAGAUGAUACGGAAUUUGAGUUUCAGUAGGUAUCUACUGAGAUGUCUCAGGCCAGAAUGGUCCGCAGACCAUUCAGGAAGUGGGAAAGAUGGUUGCCAAAUGGGGGAAGAGGGGUUUUGGAUCUGUAAGGAAGUCUGGUAUGUCACCUCAGGAACAUCUUCAGAAUGAUUUCUUGACUCCCUGUCUGGAGCAUGUGAAGUCCAAGGCUGAGACACCAACUUUGAAGUUCUCUCAGAUGCUCCUGAAACUGACUUGAGCAGACUGGGAUGAUUGGGUAAACCACACGGGUUCCACGGAUAUCAGGCCACCAGCCACUGUCCUUGCAGCAAUGCCAGAAGGUAUGGUGCCAAAGACUGGGAUAGUGAUAGAAAUGUAGCCGUGUUAGUCUAGGGUAGCUGAAACA